AAACUAACAAGGAUUCCCCUAGUAACGGCGAGUGAAGCGGGAUGAGCUCAAAUUUAAAAUCUGGCUGGUUUACUAGUCCGAAUUGUAGUUUAUAGAAGCGUUUUCGGUGGCAGCCUGGGUAUAAAUCCUUUGGAAUAGGGUAUCAUAGAGGGUGAGAAUCCCGUCUUUGACUCAGUGCAUGCUACUAUGUGAUACGUUUUCAAAGAGUCGAGUUGUUUGGGAAUGCAGCUCAAAAUGGGUGGUAAAUUUCAUCUAAAGCUAAAUAUUGGCGAGAGACCGAUAGCGAACAAGUACCGUGAGGGAAAGAUGAAAAGAACUUUGAAAAGAGAGUUAAACAGUGCGUGAAAUUGUUGAAAGGGAAACGUUUGACACCAGUUAUGCGGGUGGAAAAUCAGUCUUUUGCAAUGGGGAGUUGUGGGCGUUCAGACCGCAAGGCUGGCGUUUGCUUCAUCUUUGUUGUAAGUGAUGCACUUUUUCAUUUGCAGGUCAACAUCAGUUUGCUUUGCUGGACAAAACCCCAAGGGAAGGUGGCAGCUUAGGCUGUGUUAUAGCCCUGGGGCGAUACAGUGGAGUGGACUGAGGUUUCGCAGUGUGUGCUCUCGGGCAAGGCUGACUGGGUGCUAUGGGAUCGUUCGGCGUACAAUGCAUGCAUUUUGCGUCGUGUCUUUUUCAUACUCGCUCAACUCGGCUCUUCCACACUUAGGAUGUUGACUUAAUGGUUUUAAACGAC
Molecule: ribosomal RNA, 730 nt
Filed under: Linnemannia elongata
Lineage: Eukaryota; Fungi; Mortierellomycota; Mortierellomycetes; Mortierellales; Mortierellaceae
Description: LSU rRNA
Rfam family: Eukaryotic large subunit ribosomal RNA
Source: RNAcentral